Molecule: ribosomal RNA, 1202 nt
Filed under: metagenome
Description: bacterial LSU rRNA
Rfam family: Bacterial large subunit ribosomal RNA
Source: RNAcentral
UGACCCCGUAACUUCGGGAGAAGGGGUGCUCUGUUAGGGUGCAAGCCCGAGAGAGCCGCAGUGAAUAGGCCCAGGCGACUGUUUAGCAAAAACACAGGUCUCUGCGAAGUCGUAAGGCGAAGUAUAGGGGCUGACGCCUGCCCGGUGCUGGAAGGUUAAGAGGAGCGCUUAGCGUAAGCGAAGGUGCGAAUUGAAGCCCCAGUAAACGGCGGCCGUAACCAUAACGGUCCUAAGGUAGCGAAAUUCCUUGUCGGGUAAGUUCCGACCCGCACGAAAGGCGCAACGAUCUGGGCACUGUCUCAACGAGAGACUCGGUGAAAUUAUAGUACCUGUGAAGAUGCAGGUUACCCGCGACAGGACGGAAAGACCCCGUGGAGCUUUACUGCAGCCUGAUAUUGAAUGUUGGUACAGCUUGUACAGGAUAGGUAGGAGCCUUGGAAACCGGAGCGCCAGCUUCGGUGGAGGCAUCGGUGGGAUACUACCCUGGCUGUAUUGACCUUCUAACCCGCCGCCCUUAUCGGGCGGGGAGACAGUGUCAGGUGGGCAGUUUGACUGGGGCGGUCGCCUCCUAAAAGGUAACGGAGGCGCCCAAAGGUUCCCUCAGAAUGGUUGGAAAUCAUUCGCAGAGUGUAAAGGCACAAGGGAGCUUGACUGCGAGACCUACAAGUCGAGCAGGGACGAAAGUCGGGCUUAGUGAUCCGGUGGUUCCGCAUGGAAGGGCCAUCGCUCAACGGAUAAAAGCUACCCCGGGGAUAACAGGCUUAUCUCCCCCAAGAGUCCACAUCGACGGGGAGGUUUGGCACCUCGAUGUCGGCUCAUCGCAUCCUGGGGCUGUAGUCGGUCCCAAGGGUUGGGCUGUUCGCCCAUUAAAGCGGUACGCGAGCUGGGUUCAGAACGUCGUGAGACAGUUCGGUCCCUAUCCGUCGCGGGCGCAGGAAAUUUGAGAGGAGCUGUCCUUAGUACGAGAGGACCGGGAUGGACGCACCGCUGGUGUACCAGUUGUUCUGCCAAGGGCAUCGCUGGGUAGCUAUGUGCGGACGGGAUAAGUGCUGAAAGCAUCUAAGCAUGAAGCCCCCCUCAAGAUGAGAUUUCCCAUUCCGCAAGGAAGUAAGAUCCCUGAAAGAUGAUCAGGUUGAUAGGUCUGAGGUGGAAGUGUGGCGACACAUGGAGCUGACAGAUACUAAUCGAUCGAGGACUUAACC